AUUGAACGCUGGCGGUAUGCUUAACAUAUGCAAGUCGAGCGGCAGCACGGUAUGUAGCAAUACAUAUGGGUGGCAAGUGGCGGACGGGUGAGUAACGCGUAGGAAUCUGCCCUCAAGCGGGGGACAACCCGAGGAAACUCGGGCUAAUACCGCAUAAACUCGGAAGAGAAAAGCUGGGGUAACCUGGCACUUGAGGAGGAGCCUGCGUCUGAUUAGCUAGUUGGUAGGGUAACGGCCUACCAAGGCGAUGAUCAGUAGCUGGGCUGAGAGGAUGACCCGCCACACUGGAACUGAGACACGGUCCCGACUCCUACGGGAGGCAGCAGUGGGGAAUAUUGGACCAUGGGGGAAACCCUGAUCCAGCAAUACCGCGUGUGUGAAGAAGGCCUUCGGGUUGUAAAGCACUUUAGUUGGGGAGGAAGGUUAGCAGUUUAAGAGAUGGCUAAUUUGACUGUACCCAAAGAAUAAGCACCGGCUAACUCUGUGCCAGCAGCCGCGGUAA
This 502-nucleotide ribosomal RNA is filed under the name uncultured bacterium. RNAcentral's name for it is "partial 16S ribosomal RNA". It matches the Rfam family "Bacterial small subunit ribosomal RNA", at positions 30 to 523 of the family's 1533-position model. The record is from RNAcentral.